UGAACAAAAACAACAUAUAUAUAAUAGGUGUGUAGUUUAUUUAUUUCAUUCAUGAGACUAACAGAGAAAUCUACAAAAUUGCAAGAGAUCAGAAAAUAAUUAACCAAAUGUGAUUCUUUCAUUUCAGAAGUGUAAUGAGGAUCUGAACAUCAGAAAUUAAGGUGAUGAAAUAUAGAUUAUAAUAUAGAUACAGAGACACUUAAUUUUUCAACAGUAAAUACUCCUAAAGAUUGAAAUUAUGAGAGUAACCCCAAAUGCCUGAAAACAAGCCAAUGUCACAGGCAUCCAUCCCCCAGUCAACUUUUUAACCUAAAAAUCCAUAUUCAUUUACUGCUGUCAUGGAUUCCACUACAAUAGGAUGGCAUUGAUUUGUCCUGUCAUCAGCAAUGCAAGACAUAAAAUUUUCUUGCAGCCUUACAAAUUUAGAUAAAACUUUUCCCCAAAAGUUUGCCAAAUUGGUAUAUUAUGUUGUAGCUCACUGUAAUUUCUUUGGAUUUCUUGGUCACUUGAAAGGUAAAAUCAAUUUCCUUUUAUUCGGCAUUUUAUGGAAAGAUUUGCGUGAUCACAAUACUUCUCAUUUUUAUUACGUUUUCAUAUAUUUAAUAACUGGUUUAUAGAAAAUAAAGAUAUAGUUAACAUGAAAUGCAGAGCCUUAAUAUUUUUUAUUCUGUUUUUGUCCUUUUUACAUAUAAGGUUUUAUAUAGUCAAGUAUGUUAAUAUUUUUGGUAAUUCUUAAAUUUUUGUCCCUGCCUUCUCCUAAUAUAGAAAAUUACUUCUCAUUCCUUAUUGUUACACAUACAGCUAUUGCUAAACUUAGUUUUGGGCUACUUCUUUCUUUUCGGAUGAUAUGUAUGUCUAUAGAACCAUACUUCUUAUUAUUCCAAGUCUUCUUGUCAACUAAUCCUAUGGGAUUCGGGAUAAUUUUAUCCAGGUCUGAGAAACUUGCUUUUCAGUUGUCGUGCACUUUGUGCAUAUAUGAAAA
Long non-coding RNA from Leopardus geoffroyi (Geoffroy's cat), 982 nucleotides. RefSeq lists it as uncharacterized. The record is from RefSeq and is a predicted model, not a curated record. The transcript is spliced from 2 exons. Lineage: Eukaryota; Metazoa; Chordata; Mammalia; Carnivora; Felidae.